Molecule: ribosomal RNA, 424 nt
Filed under: uncultured Lactobacillus sp.
Lineage: Bacteria; Bacillati; Bacillota; Bacilli; Lactobacillales; Lactobacillaceae
Description: bacterial SSU rRNA
Rfam family: Bacterial small subunit ribosomal RNA
Source: RNAcentral
GGAAUCUUCCACAAUGGACGAAAGUCUGAUGGAGCAACGCCGCGUGAGUGAUGAAGGCUUUAGGGUCGUAAAACUCUGUUGUUGGAGAAGAACGUGUGUGAGAGUAACUGCUCAUGCAGUGACGGUAUCCAACCAGAAAGCCACGGCUAACUACGUGCCAGCAGCCGCGGUAAUACGUAGGUGGCAAGCGUUGUCCGGAUUUAUUGGGCGUAAAGCGAGCGUAGGCGGUUUAUUAAGUCUGAUGUGAAAGCCCUCGGCUCAACCGAGGAAGUGCAUCGGAAACUGGUAAACUUGAGUGCAGAAGAGGAGAGUGGAACUCCAUGUGUAGCGGUGGAAUGCGUAGAUAUAUGGAAGAACACCAGUGGCGAAGGCGGCUGUCUGGUCUGUAACUGACGCUGAGGCUCGAAAGCAUGGGUAGCGAACA